GACGAACGCUGGCGGCGUGCUUAACACAUGCAAGUCGAACGGAAAGUGCUCUUCGGAGUGACUCGAGUGGCGAACGGGUGAGUAACACGUGGGUGAUCUGCCCUGCACUUUGGGAUAAGCCUGGGAAACUGGGUCUAAUACCGAAUAGGACCACGCGCUUCAUGGUGUGUGGUGGAAAGCUUUUGCGGUGUGGGAUGGGCCCGCGGCCUAUCAGCUUGUUGGUGGGGUAAUGGCCUACCAAGGCGACGACGGGUAGCCGGCCUGAGAGGGUGACCGGCCACACUGGGACUGAGAUACGGCCCAGACUCCUACGGGAGGCAGCAGUGGGGAAUAUUGCACAAUGGGCGCAAGCCUGAUGCAGCGACGCCGCGUGAGGGAUGACGGCCUUCGGGUUGUAAGCCUCUUUCAGUAGGGACGAAGCGCAAGUGACGGUACCUAUAGAAGAAGGACCGGCCAACUACGUGCCAGCCGCCGCGGUAA
RNAcentral lists this ribosomal RNA (480 nucleotides) under uncultured bacterium. Its description in RNAcentral is "partial 16S ribosomal RNA". It matches the Rfam family "Bacterial small subunit ribosomal RNA", at positions 28 to 523 of the family's 1533-position model. The record is from RNAcentral.